RNAcentral lists this ribosomal RNA (565 nucleotides) under Dendropsophus cerradensis. RNAcentral's name for it is "partial large subunit ribosomal RNA". It matches the Rfam family "Bacterial large subunit ribosomal RNA", at positions 1834 to 2597 of the family's 2925-position model. Lineage: Eukaryota; Metazoa; Chordata; Amphibia; Anura; Hylidae. The record is from RNAcentral.
CCUCUCGACCUAUAUGAGAGGUCCAGCCUGCCCAGUGACUAAAUUCAACGGCCGCGGUAUCCUAACCGUGCGAAGGUAGCGUAAUCACUUGUUCUUUAAAUGAGGACUAGUAUGAAUGGCACCACGAGGGUUACACUGUCUCCUUUUUUUAAUCAAUGAAACUGAUCUUCCCGUGAAGAAGCGGGAAUGUAAAUAUAAGACGAGAAGACCCUAUGGAGCUUUAAACAAUAAUAGCACUGGCCCACACCUUUGAUUCUCCUGAGAGAUAAUUAUUAUUUAGACCAAUAUGACUAUUAGUUUUAGGUUGGGGUGACCGCGGAGCAAACACCAACCUCCACGUUGAAUGGAGCAACUCCUGAGCUAAAAGCUACAACUUUAAGCACCAAUAAACUGACAUUAAUUGACCCAACAUGUUGAACAACGAACCAAGUUACCCUAGGGAUAACAGCGCAAUCCAUUUCAAGAGCCCCUAUCGACAAAUGGGUUUACGACCUCGAUGUUGGAUCAGGGUAUCCCAGUGGUGCAGCCGCUACUAAAGGUUCGUUUGUUCAACGAUUGAAACCCU